Molecule: ribosomal RNA, 253 nt
Filed under: uncultured prokaryote
Description: partial 16S ribosomal RNA
Rfam family: Bacterial small subunit ribosomal RNA
Source: RNAcentral
UACGUAGGGUGCAAGCGUUGUCCGGAAUUAUUGGGCGUAAAGAGCUCGUAGGCGGCUUGUCGCGUCGACUGUGAAAACCCGCGGCUUAACUGCGGGACUGCAGUCGAUACGGGCAGGCUAGAGUUCGGUAGGGGAGACUGGAAUUCCUGGUGUAGCGGUGAAAUGCGCAGAUAUCAGGAGGAACACCGGUGGCGAAGGCGGGUCUCUGGGCCGACACUGACGCUGAUGCGCGAAAGCGUGGGGAGCAAACGGG